GGCAGCAGGCGCGCAAAAUUACCCAAAUCCCGACACGGGGAGGUAGUGACAAUAAAUAACAAUAUAGGGCUCUUUCGGGUCCUAUAAUUGGAAUGAGUACCAAUUUAAAUCCCUUAACGAGGACCAUUGGAGGGCAAGUCUGGUGCCAGCAGCCGCGGUAAUUCCAGCUCCAAUAGCGUAUAUUCAAAGUUGUUGCAGUUAAAAAAGCUCGUAGUUGAACUUUCAGACCUGGCUGGGGCGGUCAGCUUAACGGCGUGUACUGUCUGGCUGGGGUCUUACCUCUUGGUGAGCCGAUGUGCCCCUUUAUUGGG
RNAcentral lists this ribosomal RNA (311 nucleotides) under uncultured fungus. Its description in RNAcentral is "SSU rRNA". It matches the Rfam family "Eukaryotic small subunit ribosomal RNA", at positions 424 to 730 of the family's 1831-position model. The record is from RNAcentral. Lineage: Eukaryota; Fungi.